RNAcentral lists this long non-coding RNA (1716 nucleotides) under Gallus gallus (chicken). RNAcentral describes it as "lncRNA (ENSGALG00010006018.1)". Lineage: Eukaryota; Metazoa; Chordata; Aves; Galliformes; Phasianidae. The record is from RNAcentral.
GGAGACUACAUGCAACAAGUGGUGACCCCGACGUGAUCUGUCUGCUGAGGGUGGCUGCCCGGCGUGCCCGUGACGCGGAGAAGAGCCUGUGAGGUGGCGGCAGGUCGCAUACGUAACAAUGGACCAAGUCAUUAAGACCGAAGCCAACUCCAGAACAACUGAGGGACAGACGAUGGGAUCAAGAACCACUCGUCAAGAGGAGCACUACACCUGCAACGCUGACACUUCCGAUGUUGCUGAUAUUUAUGGUGUCCAUGGCAAUUACAGAGUGUCACAAACAACUACAAUGGACACAAGAACAUAUGCAGAAAAUUAAAGAAGAGCGUGAUCCCUUUGGAAGCUGGCUGGACGGACUGUUUGGGGGAACGGGUUCAUGGUUAAAGCAAUUGCUUAAAGCUCUCGCAGUAGGAUUUGCAAUCUUUGUGUGUAUUCUAAUCUGUCUUCCAUGCUUUGUAGGAUGCUUGCAGAACUGCCUUCAACGAAUGAUGGACAAGACUUUUGACUAUCACAUUGAGUAUCAUAGAUUGCGUGAAAAAUUAUAGAGGGGUUUAGGUUGUUGCGUUCGUGCUGUAACGGGGCAAGGCUUGGCCGAGCACGGAAAAGAAUUCCCUGUUGCUCUGAUGAUUGCUUAAGAACUGUAGUAGAAAAUAGUAGGAAUAGUGUGCUGAAAUAUAUUUAGGAUUAGGCGUUUUGCGCUGCUUCGCGAUGUACGGGUUAGGUGUGUGUGUAAGUAGUAUUUAGCUUAGGGAGGGGGAGAUGUUGUAGUAGGCGUCUUGCGGGGGCACGGGAUGUACGGGACAGGCCUCUCCCUAAACAUAGAGAGAUAGUGCUAUCGUGCUGACCUUGUUGCAGAGAAAACAGGAGAAGAAGAAGGAUGAUAAAAGAAUGCGGAAACGGCCAAAUAAGGCACAAUGUUAUCUGGUGUGAACUAAUCAGAGUGGGACAUGACAGCACGGUUAUCUAGGUAAAAUGUAUAUAAGCUGUGUUUAGUAGUGAAUAAACGCCAUUUGCCUCACUUACUCCUGGGGUCUGGGUGAGCAUCUGGCCCCGACCUGGUAAAGGGUCGGUUUCGCCCAGCAGUAAGCCCUACAUGUGGACAGAGGACGAACACCGGACGAGCGAACGGAGACUACAUGCAACAGCUGAGAGCAGCCUUUCAGUAUCUAAAGGGCGUCUAUUAGAAAGAAGGGAACAGACUCUUCAGCAGGGUCUGCUGUGAUAGAAAAAGGGGAAUUGGUCUCAAACUAAAAGAAGGGAGAUUUAGACUGGAUAUAAGAAAGAAGUUUUUGUAAUAAGGGUAGUGAGGCACUGGAGCAGAUUGCCCAGAGAGGUUGUGGAUGCCUCGUCCCUGGAGACACUCAGUGUCAGGCUGGAUGGGGCUCUGAGCAACCUGAUGUAGCUGCACGUGUCCCUAUUCAUCACAGGGGGGUUGGACUAGAUCAUAGAAUCAUAGAACCAUAGAACCAUAGAAUCACAGAAUCACAGAAUGGCCGGGGUUGAAAAGGACCUCAAAGAUCAUCCACUUUCAACCCCCCUGCCAUGGACAGGGCCGCCAACCACUAGAGCAAGCUCUGUCCAGAGCCACAUCCAGCCUUGCCUUGAAUGCCUCCAGGAAUGGAGUAUCCACAACCUCGCUGGGCAACCUGUUCCAGUGCAUCACCACCCUCUGAGUGAAAAAUAAAAAUAGAUGACCUCUCAGGGUCCCUUCCAACUCAG